CAUGUCUCUUUCUAAACUCUCUUUGAGGAUUCAAGUAUUGAAGAUCGAGUUGGAAGUACCUAUUAUGGUAUGAAUAGAGACUAGAAAAAAUUAAUUGCGCUGUUGAGUACGAUUGCUCCUUAUGGGGUACUCGUAAUUUUAUGGGCAAACAAGU
Molecule: small nucleolar RNA, 154 nt
Filed under: Schizosaccharomyces octosporus yFS286
Lineage: Eukaryota; Fungi; Ascomycota; Schizosaccharomycetes; Schizosaccharomycetales; Schizosaccharomycetaceae
Source: RNAcentral